Molecule: long non-coding RNA, 3412 nt
Filed under: Homo sapiens (human)
Lineage: Eukaryota; Metazoa; Chordata; Mammalia; Primates; Hominidae
Description: HSALNT0189662
Source: RNAcentral
AACAUAUGUGUGCAUGUGUCUUUAUGGUAGAAUGAUUUAUAUUUCUUUGAAUAUAUACCCAGUAAUGGGAUGUCUAGGUCGAAUGGUAAUUCUUUUUUAAGUGCUUUGAGAAUUUGCCAAACUGCUUUCCACAAUGGCUGAACGAAUUUAUAUUCCCCCCAGCAAUGUGUAAGUGUUCCCUUUUCUCUACAACCUCAGUAACAUCUGUUAGCUUUUGACUUUUUAAUAGUAGCCAUUCUGACUGCUGGGAAAUUGUAUCAUUGUGGUUUGGGUUUGCAUUUCUCUGAUGAUUAGUGAUGCUGAGCAUUUUUUCAUAUGCUUGUUGGGGCCAUAUGUAUCUUCUUUUGUAACUUAAAUAUCCAUCAACAGUAGACUGGAUAAAGAAAAUGUGGUACAUAUACAGCCACAGUAUACUAUGCAGCCAAUGAGAUUAUGUCCUUUGCAGCAACAUGGAUAGAGCUGGAAGCUAUUAUACUAAGCAACCUAACACAGGAGCAGAAAACCAUAUACUGCAUGUUCUCGCUUGUAAGUGGGAGCUAAACACUGAGUACAUAUGGACACAAGGAAGAGAACAACAGACACCAGAGCCUGCUUGAGGGUGGAGGAUGGGAGGAGGAUGAGGAUAGAAAAACUACCUAUCAGGUACUAUGCUGAUUACCUGGGUGAUGAAAUAUACCAAAUCUCCAUGACACACAAUUUACUUAUGUAACAAACCGGCACAUGUACUCCAAACCUAACAUAAAAGUGAAGAAAAUUAACAAGUGUUAGUUUGUUUAAAACAUUCCUCCUUCAGAUAUUAAAAUAUUUACUCAGCUGAGUACAGUAAUGUAAAAUUUAACUGCUGCAGACAGACUCUAAAAUGCCCCCCAAUGAUCUCUGCCUUCUGACAUCUCCACAUUUGUACAAUUUCCUCCUCUUUAGUGAAGGCUGGACUAGAGAUUUGCUUUGAACAUAUAAAGUAAAACAAAGAUAAUAUAAUGUUACUUCUAUGACCAGGUUACAAGAAACUGCAACCUCCAUCUUGCUAGCAAAAGUUCCCUACUGCCUUUUCGUCUUUCCUGUUUUGAUAAAUCAAGUGGCCAUGUUGGAGAGACCUCAUCCCCUGUGGCAAGGAUCCGAGGGUUACCUCCAGCCCACGGCAAAAUAAUCAAUGAGGCGCACAGCUCAAAGUUCUUUCCAUUGGAUUUUAUGGAAAUUGAUCCUUCCUGCUUAUUGGUCCAAAGAACAUGCCGGCAUAAAAGUACUGGAUGAGUAUGAUGUCCUGUGGAAUGGAAAAACACUCAAGUUCUUGCAGACUGGACAGUGGAGAGUUACUACAGAGCAAAUGUGUACUUCACAUUGCUGUAUAUAAUAAUAAUAGUGAAGGUGUACUUCUGACCCCACCAGCCAAAAGCAAAAUGCUUCCAGUAGUCUUUACUAACAUUAUAGAGAAAAACUCGAUUGACAAACUGGCACCAGCAUGCCAGGUCUAGGGAACCUAUGAUCUGAAAUGACAACAGCAAUUGGAGUCACUGUCUGAUUAAUUUUAUAAUAAUUGCCUGUCAAUAUCCAGGACCUAUCUGCCUUCAUCACAAUAAAUAGCAAGUUAAAUGUAGUGAGAAUUACCAGUUUUGCAUCUUUCAAGUCCUAAUAUUAGCACCAAUUUUGUAAUUCCUUCAGAUAUGUCAUGUUGCUUUUGGUGUACUGUUUCUUAUAACAAAGGAACUUCUAUAACAAAGGAACUUCUAGUAUCUACCACUUAGUAUUAUCGUAAUACCACUUAGUAUUAUCACAAUUGCUCCAUAAGUUGGGAGACUAUGUGGAGAUUCUACCAGUAGAUGAAAGUCUGGCUAUUUCCUCUUCCUUAAUACACAGUCACCUGUGUAAGAAGCCAUACUUUUUUCAGGGAAAUCUGGGAAGAAUAUUUACAAAACAAAUUUUUGGAUGUGUAGUGAGUUCCUUCCUUAAAGAAACCUGAUUCAUUUAUAUUUGAGGAGCUCUGAGUCUGUGAAUGGGUUCAUGUCUGGAAAUUGACUGAGAAGCCAUGGCCCUCUGGUGUGGUGAUUAAUAUUAGACUUCAAUUCACCAGACCUAAAACUUCUGAAGUAAUAUUUUAAUAGGCAGCCCAUCUAUUUCACUCCUAGAGACAUAAUGAUCAUUAGCCAAUACCAGAGAUCUCUAUAGGGCAAACCUUUUGUUUCUGCUGGUUUUUGUUACUAAUUCUGUUUAUGUGGUGAAUCACAUUUACUGAUUUGCAUAUGUUAAACCAACAUUGCAUCCCAGAAAGAAAGCCUACUCUAUUGUGGUAAAUUAGCUUUUUGAUAUUGUCUUUCAAUUCUUGGAUUGUAUUACUGUUUUCCUUAAAUUGGGUUGAUAUAAUAAUUGAUAUAAUAAUUAAUAACAACAUGCUAUUAUCAUAAUUCUUAUAUUAUCAAUAAGGGAACUGAGGCAUAGAGCUUAAGUCAUACAGCUAAUAUGUAGAAAAGCUAAGAUUUGAACCCAGCUAAUCUGGGUUGAGAGUUCAUCCACUUGACCAGAACACAAUACUGCUUCCUAUUCUGACAGGCCUGGUGAAGAGACAGAACUCUUCUUAGAGUCAGAAGAGAUUGUAAAAUGUGAAGGAAGAAGUAGGCAGAGAGCAUUUCUUGCAAGAGGACAGAAUCAAAUAGAUGUAUUAGACCGUGCUUCAAAACUUUUAGCAAAUCUAUCUACCUGGGCAACAGGUUACCUGAGGCAGAUAUAAAAAUUAGAAAAAAAAAUCAAUGACAUUUACUGACUGAUUAAUAAGUGAAAUGAGAGGAAAGUUAAGUCUUUCUCGCUAGUAGAGUUUAAGUUUCCAUGACUGGAAGUAUGCUGCACUUGAUACAAACAGGCAAUUAACAUAAAAAAUCAGUAUUGUACUUUUCAGUUAUUUCUCCAAAUUGGUCUUCCUACCUCCUUUCACACUCUUACUUCUUAAAUUCAGCAUUCAAACUCUUCCCAGAAUAAUUUUCCAAAAAAACAAUAUGAGCCCUUUACUUCAUAUGCCUCAAAAAUUCAAUGGCUGCCUAUUGAGGACAGAGUAAAGUCAAAGCUCCUCUAUCUACUUGGCAUCUGUGAGUAUGUACUCUACUUUUCCUCCAGUUACCACCUAGUAGUAAAUUUGUCCUAAGUAUGGUGGAAUUACUAACAAAUGAACAGUGACACACACUACAGAACACUAGCCUAUUAUUUAUUUUUCAAACUUUUCAGGAAAUUGGGAAAUAAUUAAAACUUUUCCAUGAUAACUGAGCCAAAUUUUUCCAGGACCAACUGCCAAGACUGGCUUCUUUGGUAGCUGACAGGCAGUCAGAUAACUCAGUGGGGAAAAUGUAAAAUUCAUUCUUUCCUCACUGUCUUUGUAUGUGCUUGUGGGGGUUUUUUCCCCCUUCUUUGCCCUUUUCUGUUUUAUUGU